This 492-nucleotide ribosomal RNA is filed under the name uncultured bacterium. RNAcentral describes it as "partial 16S ribosomal RNA". It matches the Rfam family "Bacterial small subunit ribosomal RNA", at positions 30 to 507 of the family's 1533-position model. The record is from RNAcentral.
AUUGAACGCUGGCGGCAUGCUUUACACAUGCAAGUCGAACGGUAACAGGCCUUCGGGUGCUGACGAGUGGCGAACGGGUGAGUAAUGCAUCGGAACGUGCCCAGAGGUGGGGGAUAACGCAGCGAAAGCUGUGCUAAUACCGCAUGUGAUCUGAGGAUGAAAGCGGGGGACCAAGCAGCAAUGUUUGGCCUCGCGCCUCUGGAGCGGCCGAUGUCAGAUUAGGUAGUUGGUGGGGUAAAGGCCUACCAAGCCGACGAUCUGUAGCUGGUCUGAGAGGACGACCAGCCACACUGGGACUGAGACACGGCCCAGACUCCUACGGGAGGCAGCAGUGGGGAAUUUUGGACAAUGGGCGCAAGCCUGAUCCAGCAAUGCCGCGUGCGGGAAGAAGGCCUUCGGGUUGUAAACCGCUUUUGUACGGAACGAAAAGGCUCUGGCUAAUACCUGGGGCUGAUGACGGUACCCUAAGAAUAAGCACCGGCUAACUACGUG